UUACGUUCGACGUCAAAGAGAAGUCAGGUGAAGAUGAUUAAAAAAUCAAUCACAAAAAUGGUCGCUGUCACGGCUGUGUGGAUGUACGGGACUGUGGAAAGAAAUGUCGUGGUGACUUGUGAAGCAAGUUAGUUGUACUGUAGCCUCACAACGAACAGUAGAAAGUUAACAACAAACUUUUCAUCAAACAACCAGGAGAGCUAGCUUGUUUCCAGUCAGCUAACUGUUCUACCAACAGACGCUCAGUGGGACAUUACAGACUAUCACAUGGAUAUGGACCACUUCCCCUCCGUGAAAGAAAGGAGAAUGGAUUUAAAGUAUUACACGUCAGCUCAUACCUUGGCUGUGACUGACAGCGUAUGAAGGGAAGACUAAUAAGAUGCUGAAGGUGCUGCAGGACUGCUGCUGCUGCUGCUGCUUGUGGACGUGCGCAGUAACAACUGUUUACUCGCAUCCAAGACGUAAUUCCUGAUCUAAAGCAGAGCCACGCUUUAUGUAAGGUGCUACUUUGUCCUUCCCUCCCCGUCCUGCUUCAGAUGAAUUUUCCACGCUCAGUCAUUUCUACACUAAACACUUUCUCGUCUCUUGUCAGGACGGAUUUAGACAAUGUCCCUCCACUAUAUUCAUUUCUCUCUAAUCGUCUUUCCUCACCUGUCCUUGUAUUACCUGUCCCCUACCCAUCCCUCCCUCCCUCCCUCCCUCCCUCUCUCUCUCUCUCGGCUGAGUGACUCGUUGAGAUGGACGUAAUGAGACAGGUCCAUGCAGGGAGGGAGAUGGAGGCAGUGCCAUGAAGGAGUGCAGCCGUAAACAAGGUGAAAAAUAAUCAGGAACUCUGCCCUGACGUCAUGAGCCUGAAAUGAGGCGUCUCCUCAAAUACCAAUCCAAUCACCAUAGCUGCGUCUGAUCAAGUCAUGUCCCAUUUUGACAGCUGUCUCAGUGUACAGUGGCCUGACGUUGAGCCAGAGAGGAUAGGGAGCCACAGCGGCAAGGACGUGAUGUAGAGUUUCAUCAACGCCUCCACUGCUCCUUAUUCUCCAUCAGAAAUUCAGCUUUUUUUUUUCUCGGCUGGAUUACAAGAAUGACAGGUGAUGUAAGACCACAAGAUCACACUUAUAUAUGUUUUAUUCUUCUUUCAGCACGACAGUUGAUUAAACACCAUAGGGAGUAGUGCAGACUAGUUUUAAUGUUACACUUUAAUUUGUCAAAAGCAGAAAUAAAAAUCAUGUUUAGAUCAUGAAAUAGAAACAUGAAAUCAAAGGAAUAACCCUAGUUAAAAUAUAAAUAUAAAAUUGCAGCAACUUCUUUUAUUAUUCAUUGAUGAUCAUGGGAUCAUGUUGUUGAAAGGUCACCAAGCGAGCAAACUAGAUUAGCUAGAUAGCUGUGGGCUAAUAUGGCUGGCCUGAACUUAAAAGGACUGCUGUAUAUAGCAGCAGAGCUCCAGGCUUCAUAAUAUAAGCUUUCUGCUCACUGAUGUCAUCCAUUUUUUUUUUAGGUUCGGUCUAGAGUUAGGCUGAUCAAUACCCCAGGUAUCAAUACUAUCAAUACUAACUCUUGUUUUGAGUGUCUGUAUUCACUAUCAAUAGGACUGAUAUGAAAAUGAAUCUGUCUCUCCGCUCUGUCUGUAUCAAUAGAGCAGCAAACAACGGCCUGUUGUCAUCUUUUGAAGUUAGAUCACGUUCUGGGUACGUGAACACACUUCUCAGUGCAUGAUCUCUCUAAUAUGUGCAGCUACAGCAUCACCUCAUUAGCUCAGAGAAGACACGGGUAGUUUCUGGGCUGUGUGAACAAAGGAGGACAAUCAUUUGGACUCAUCUCACUUGCACGCAAUGGAAUAAUUAUCAAAGAAAUACACUUAUUUAGUUUCUUGCUGCCACACUCAUGUUUGUAUGGUAAACAUGAAGCUACCGCCAACAGCCGGUUAGCUAAACCACACUUCUUCUUGGGCUCUGCUGGUUGCCUGCACACUACACAGUGACAACAAGAAGUAGUCGCACAUAACCCCCCGUUAAAAGUAAUUUUUAUUAAAACAAACGAGAUAUAACAUGUUAAGAAGUGCGCUUUAGAGGUUCCGCUAGGUGGAUUUUGUUAGCUUACGGCACAGCCUGGCUAACUGUUUCUUCCCGUCUCCAGUGUUUAAGCUAACCAGCUACCAGCUACUUCAUAUUUAGCAUACAGCAGUUUUUUCUCAAACUUUUUCUGGUGUUCUUCACCCCAUAAUUUUUGUCAAACAUUAACAAUGAUAGGGUAAGCAACUAAUAUAAAAGGAUCCGAGUUAAAGUUUAGUGAAAUAAAGGUCCGCAUCAGCCAACUCUGUCUAUUUUCCCUACAUAAAUCAUAUUCAUUCAACUUAGUUUCACUCCAUGUUUUUCUUCUGGUAAGGAGGACCCGUCCCACAGUUUAGGAACCAUUGGACAUGCUAGUGGUAUCAAUCUUCUCAUCUUAAUCUUUCCAAGAAUGCAAAUUACUUGUUCGGCAAAUAAUUUGCUGUAUAUGAAAAUGUAUUAGGAAGUAGUAGUAUCAGUGAGGCAUCCGCAUCCUAAAUCAGGACACAUUAUUCUUCCCAACAUGGUAGCACGGAACUUCUAUAGUAAAGUAUUGUGUUUUGGUUAAAUCAAUAACCAAAUUGCCCUAGUUCUCUUUAAAGUUACUUUAACCUGCAUUACGGAUUUUUUUUUUUACCACUUGAUGACAUAUUAUCCUCUUAUAAAGUUGGUAUGGCUAAUGGUUACCUACUGUAUUUAUACAUCCAGCAGACACAGAGCAAGAUUAAUGUUCAGUUGGAGUUGUGUUUCAGUCUACCUGGCAUAUUCCCAUCCAAUAUUCACUUUGCUUUUAGCUCUGUUUUGGUCCUGAGGAGAAUAUCUGACUCUUUAACUGCUGAAUGCUCCUCUGUGUAAAAAAGUUAUGGACAUAAAACCAAAACAAUAAGCUGAAGGAUGCUAAAAUGCUCCGUAGUUGGAUCAUAAUUCCCUUCCAUUUUUUCCAGUGUUAAUAUAAAAACAUUGACUUGUGCAGCUUCAACUAGAAAAAGCGAUCCAGGCUCCACCGUCAGUGAGAUCAUUUCUGCCUCUGAGAGAUGUUUGCAAACUGUUUUUUCCUGCUGCCUUUUUCGUUUCUCCAGCUCUCUCUCCCUUCCUCUGUUUCCGUCUCUCUCUCUCCCUCUCUCACCUCAUAUCUCCAGCUGUCGCCUGGUAGAAUGUAAAUGAGCCUCUCAGCACAGGGCCUGUGAUGGUGUCAGCCCUCUCCUUAGUCUCUGGUCUCAUUAGAAGCCUAGUGUAGCUGACAUUUACCCAGCCGCUGUGUUGACUAGCUCUUCAUGCGGGCCAUAUGGGUCAAAACAAUACACAGUGAAACUUCAGCAAUCCAAAUCUCUUUGGGAAGGAAGGUCGCUGGAGCUUGUGAGAUGACUGGAUGGCGACUAAAAACCGUUAAAAUGUCCAAAAAAAGGCCUUGAAAUGUAAAAAAAAAAAAAAAAAAAAUCAAUCCACAUUCCUUUCUUAAUGACCCAUGUGGUCUAAUUUGAAGUGAAGUUAAAAAUCUAAAGCACUGCCAUUCAUGCGGUCCUGUGUCCUUGCUGUAUUGUGUGUACUGUUGGCCUCUGUUAAGUUGUCAGUGCACAAAUGUCAGCAGGACAGAUUCCUGGCAGCUGAACUAAUUAAGAUUCUGAAUUAACAGCAAACGCUCAACAUUUUUCAAUUCUUUUUGUCUGCACAAAUGCACCAAAAAUCUGAAAUUGCCACGGUCGUUUUUGCACAAUAACCUGUGUGAUUUUUACACAUUAUUCUGCCAAUUGAUAAUGUCCUCUUAAUAAUAUAAAAUUUGCUUUGAUUUUGGUGAACAACAGCCAUCUCCUGAGUUAGCUCUGUGAGUUUGAAAUUAAUAGGAUGGCCACAGCUAUUUCCUGACUCUUCUUCCUCUUGGGAUCCUGCAGCUCUGUUUUUCUGCGGUCCUCUCAUCCUGUUACUAAUGCCUGACUCUGUGUAACCCUUAUCUCCAUGCUCACUACAUGGCCUGAUAGGGCUCUGUGUGUAAGCAAUUAAAACGGCUUAUUUGCCAGAUAAGUGAGGGAGAGCGGUCAGAUUGAAAGCCACAGGCUGCCAGUAUCAGGUCUUUAGGUUACAGCCCCCGGGUUAAAUAGCCCGGGGGUGCAGAGUGAGCCAAGCGAGGCGUACAGCUCAGUGUGAGUGUGUGUAGGGGCUGAAACUCUGCCAGAGGGAAACAUACACACAAGGUAUGUGUGUGUUUUCCACAUAACCAACAUACACUGAAAUUAAUAUUUAACCAUCAUCAUAAAUAAAGAUGGGGGGGGGAUACAGUAGAAAAUAUACCAUCCUGUGUUCAAAAGCUGUUCAUAUGUUUGUGGAUUUACAUAGCUGUGCAUGGAUAGAAUAUAUUCAUAUUAUACAUUCUUGUCUAAUGAACAAAACAAAUUCUCUGUGAAGUACUUCGUGUCUGUACAUCAAAGCCUGUUCCCACAUCUGAUUGCUAACAGGCAGACAGGUGCCAUAUGAUCUCAACACACUGUAUUCAGGGUUGAAACACAGGAAAAACUUGCUUUAAAGGUCCAGUGUGUAACAUUUGGGAGGAUCUAUAAGCAGAAAUGAAAUAUAACAUUCAUAGCUAUGUUUCCUUUAGUGUACAAUCACCUGAAAAUAGGAAUUGUUGUCAUUUCGUUACCUUAGAAUGAGCUGUUUAUAUCUACAGGCGCCACAUGUCGCCUGCAAUGGAGUCCGCCAUAUUGAACCACCAUGUUUCUACAGUAGCCCAUUAAGGACUAUAACCACACUAAAUGCCACUAAAUCCCACACACUGCUCCUUUAAUAUCAUAAUAAAACUAAUCACUACACAGAUGAACUUACUGCUCUGCUGGUCAUAUUGGAGGCAUCCAGCUUAAAGUUUUAUAGCUGCAUUUUCCUUCCCUAUUUGCUACUUUGUGCACCAUUUACUUUCUGGCAUUUUGUUCUUCAGACCAAAUGCACAACCUCAAAAAGUUAAUGCAAGGUUGUGCAGCAAACCAGGAUAUUACAGACCAACAUUUGAUCAUUCAGAAUAAUCAUUUUCUAACAUAGUUUGCCCUUGGAUCUUCUAUUUUCUACCAUGCUUUAGAUUUUAUAGGUAGGUACCGAGUGUAUAAAAUUAUGUAACAAUUCUGCUAUAUUCUGUGCCAGAGUUUCAGUGGACGAGCAUUGUGGAGGUCAGAGUAAGGGUCAAAGUUUAUUUUGAAUCAAUUUAAACCUAGUGGAAAAUCAUCAGUAGCUCUCUCCACUGGAAAUAGUGUGCUACAGUGUAAUGUUGAACCUACACCAUUUUUUUAAUUUUUUUUUUUGUGAAAGAACAGAAAGGGGAUGAUAUGCAGCAAGGGCCACAGGUCAGACUUGAACCCACGGCCACUGCAGCAAGGACUUUAUCGUAUGAGCUACCAUGGCAUUUUUGCUAUAGUUCACACAGUUCAAUGACUCCUUUGCAUUUGAUGCUAAAUAAUGAUUUUAUUUAUCAUUUACUCACCAUUGAGUAAACUGUUGAGUGUUCUUAUCUGAGGAAGUCAACAGCUAAGUCUGUCAAUAUUCCAUAUUCUGUCAAAAAAUACCAAAACUAACAAGGAAUUUGUCUCACUAUUAAACAAGUGUUCUCUGUGGAGCCAAAAGCUUCUUCCUCUCUGAAUAGACCACCAUAGAGCAUUAUUAUUAUUAUUAUUAUUAUUAUUGUCCAAAAUCUGUUCAUAAUGAGCCGCAGCAUUGCAGUGAAUGACAUGUUCCUUCAUUAUAAUGAACAUAAACACUGUAGUUUAUAUUUAUAGACACCAUCCAGCUGCAAAAAACCCUGACUGGAGAACCAAAUUUGUAUUAACCGGCUGUUGAAACAUUAUUCCCUUUUACAAAUUCCCUUUUACAGCUAUGAGUAAUACUACAGUUCCCAGCUGUUUUAGGAAGUUACUGUUUAAAGAUUUAUGGUAACGAAUUAGCUUGAAGCUGAGGGCCACAGACAGGGAAGGGAAGUUGAGUCAGUGAGCAUACUAACUAACGUAGCGUAUUUAGUAUUAAUAUCAUUGUUAUCUCUACAUGAGCCUGCUGGGUAGCUGGCUAUCCUGUCAGCUCAUUUCCUUAUUCUUUUUCUAUUUUUUCUAUUUUUAUUGUUAACCAAUCAUCGUAGUUCCGGGCGAGUUUCACCAAUCAUAGAAGCCCUCCACGCAAAACAUUGAGCCAUACAUCACCAAGCUACUAGUGAUUUUAUUCUCACUGGAACAAGAAGCCUUCGAUUUUUUUAUGAAUUCUACAAAAAUAAAUGCAACUAUUUUUGCAAUUUUCAUUUUCUCCUGCAAUUCCAAUGCAAAGAAAGCAUUGCAACAUGCAUCGCAGUUUUUUUUGUUUUUUUUUAGAAAAGCUGCCAUGAAAUCAGAUAUUUUUGCCCACAAAAUCCUGAAGGGACUGCAAA
This is a long non-coding RNA of Dicentrarchus labrax (European seabass), 6432 nucleotides long. RefSeq lists it as uncharacterized. The record is from RefSeq and is a predicted model, not a curated record. The transcript has 4 exons. NCBI's taxonomy places the organism in Eukaryota, Metazoa, Chordata, Actinopteri, Moronidae.